AUCCCUACGGGGGGCAGCAGUGGGGAAUAUUGCACAAUGGGGGAAACCCUGAUGCAGCAACGCCGCGUGAGUGAAGAAGUAUUUCGGUAUGUAAAGCUCUAUCGGCAGGGAAGAAAAUGACGGUACCUGAGUAAGAAGCCCCGGCUAACUACGUGCCAGCCGGCGCGGGAAUACGUCGGGGGCAAACGUUAUCCGGAUUUACUGGGUGUAAAGGGAGCGUAGACGGCGAUGCAAGUCUGAAGUGAAAG
RNAcentral lists this ribosomal RNA (248 nucleotides) under uncultured bacterium. RNAcentral's name for it is "partial 16S ribosomal RNA". It matches the Rfam family "Bacterial small subunit ribosomal RNA", at positions 335 to 600 of the family's 1533-position model. The record is from RNAcentral.